Molecule: small nuclear RNA, 107 nt
Organism: Erinaceus europaeus (western European hedgehog)
Lineage: Eukaryota; Metazoa; Chordata; Mammalia; Eulipotyphla; Erinaceidae
Source: Ensembl
AUGCUCAGUUCAGCAGCACAUAUACUAAAAUUGGAAUGAUAACGAGGAGAUUAGCAUGGUAUCUGCACAAGGAUGACAUGCAAAUUCAUGAAGUGCCAAAAUAAAUA